GCUCAUCUUCAGAGGUAGCUCAGUUGAUAAAGCAUAAGACUCUUAAUCUCGGGGUCAUGGGUUUGAGACCCAAGUUGGGUG
This is a non-coding RNA of Podarcis lilfordi (Lilford's wall lizard), 81 nucleotides long. The record is from the annotation of a GenBank genome assembly. Lineage: Eukaryota; Metazoa; Chordata; Lepidosauria; Squamata; Lacertidae.